CAACCUGAACUCAGUCGUGAUUACCCGCUGAACUUAAGCAUAUCAUUUAGCGGAGGAAAAGAAACUAAAAAGGAUUCCCCUAGUAACGGCGAGUGAAACGGGAAGAGCCCAGCGCCGAAUCGAUCAGUCUUUGGCUGCUUCGAAAUGUGGCGUAUAGGUGUAGUCUUCCAGCAGUGUCGUAUGUCCGAAGUCCUUGCGAUUGAGGCCAUAAACCAGAGAGGGUGCGAGCCCCGUUCUGGAUAGCGGCGCUGUUGGUUCGACUGCUCCUUGGAGUCGGGUUGCUUGAAAGUGCAGCCUAAAGUGGGUGAUAAACUUCAUCUAAGGCUAAAUAUUGACUCGAUUGCGAUAGCGAACAAGUACCGUGAGGGAAAGUUAGGCAAAGGACUUUGAAGAGAGAGUUCAAGAGAACGUGAAAUCGCUGGAGUGGAACCGGAGACAGUUGAUGUUG
Molecule: non-coding RNA, 448 nt
Organism: Caenorhabditis japonica
Lineage: Eukaryota; Metazoa; Nematoda; Chromadorea; Rhabditida; Rhabditidae
Source: Rfam